This 468-nucleotide ribosomal RNA is filed under the name uncultured bacterium. RNAcentral's name for it is "partial 16S ribosomal RNA". It matches the Rfam family "Bacterial small subunit ribosomal RNA", at positions 28 to 507 of the family's 1533-position model. The record is from RNAcentral.
GACGAACGCUGGCGGCGUGCUUAACACAUGCAAGUCGAACGGAAAGGCCCUGCUUUUGUGGGGUGCUCGUGUGGCGAACGGGUGAGUAACACGCGAGUAACCUGCCCUUGACUUUGGGAUAACUUCAGGAAACUGGGGCUAAUACCGGAUAGGAGCUCCUGCUGCAUGGUGGGGGUUGGAAAGUUUCGGCGGUUGGGGAUGGACUCGCGGCUUAUCAGCUUGUUGGUGGGGUAGUGGCUUACCAAGGCUUUGACGGGUAGCCGGCCUGAGAGGGUGACCGGCCACAUUGGGACUGAGAUACGGCCCAGACUCCUACGGGAGGCAGCAGUGGGGAAUAUUGCGCAGUGGGCGGGAGCCUGAUGCAGCGACGCCGCGUGCGGGAUGACGGCCUUCGGGUUGUAAACCGCUUUCGCCGGUGACGAAGCGUGAGUGACGGUAAUGGGUAAGGAAGCACCGGCUAACUACGUG